This 1415-nucleotide long non-coding RNA is filed under the name Monodelphis domestica (gray short-tailed opossum). RNAcentral's name for it is "lncRNA (ENSMODG00000044547.1)". The record is from RNAcentral. Lineage: Eukaryota; Metazoa; Chordata; Mammalia; Didelphimorphia; Didelphidae.
UGUAGUUAACUGGCUGGUCUUUUGCCAAGUGUACUCUUUUAACCCAUUUACUAGAAAGAUGGCUUUAAACAAAAGAAAUCUUUUUCACUUGGCUUAAAAAUAUUCCAUUCAUAAUAUUGAGGGGAAAAAAAACAACAUGGAAGAUACCUUGAGAGUUCGCAAACUAGGUCAGUUCUAGUCCUUUGUCAAAGGAUGGCUUAAACAUUGACUUUCUUCUUUCAUUUAUGUGAUUAUCUUCUUUAUUAGGGAUUGGACUCUCCUAAAACUAAUACCUAGUAUUUUCAAUUAUGGGAAAUACAUCCUGUUUUAACAGUAGCCUGAUGCCAUGACUGAAUAAGCAGCAAUAAAUUCUUUAUCAAAAUAGUCAGUAGUUCCCAAAACCACAAAUAACAACAGAAGCAAAGUCGUACUAAAUCAGCAAAGAGCAUUUGGAUAAUAAGGGACUGAGUCACUUUUUUUAAAAAACAUCUCUAUUGCUAACUCUACUAUUUCCUUGCAGACAUGGGGGGGGGGGGCAGGUGGGGGUAGGGAAGGCAUUGCUCAGAAUCUUAAAAAUGACAUCACUUAAGUCACAUGAUUGGCAAGCACCAAUUAAGAUGGGCUGUGGAAAGAGGAACAGUUAAAUUUGUAAUUUUGGUUGUGUGAAACACUUCUUUGGGGCCUCAUAAACAACCACAGAACCACAAGUUGGGUACGGUGGCAGUCACACAAGACUGGGUCCGGGAUAUUGGUCAGCAGGCAGGGCAAAUCACACUGUCUGCAAACCACAGAGUUUCGUAGAGCGGUAAGCAUCAUCAAGCCACAACCAAGUCACUUCGAGGCUCUUUAAAAAAAAAAGAAAGAAAGAAAACUUUUUGAUCUUCAGCAAUUUGAAUAUUUCUUUUCAAAGAGGUAAGAGAAGUCAUCUCGUCCCCCAACUUGAAGAAGCCUACAUUGGAAGGAGGAAACGAUGGCUUCGGACAGCAUGUUUGAGUCAUUUCCUUCAUACCCACAGUGCUUCAUGAGAGGUAAGUGCUCUUGAGACUUGUAAAAUGUACUUCUGCUCAGUUUUGCAUAGAAAAAGGAGUGGCAGCUCAGCCUGUGGCACAGCAGUGCCUGAAACUCUUGGCUUUUCAGUAUGAGGGAUUCUGGCUGAGGCAUAUGAUUACAAGGUGAUUGGGUUACUUAUUCAUCAUAUGGCAGCUCUUCAGAAGUCCUCCGGAAUAAUGAGUUAAGCUGCCGAGGCACUCAGUUGGUAUUUAGGGAACUUUUUCAAGUACACGUUGCUUAAGCUUCUGUUUUUCAAGUGUUGAAGACUAUAAAGUUAGCCCAGAGCUCUUUGGGGUUUACACGGAUGUCUCAGGCGUUGGAUGGUCCAGUCUUGGUUAUCCUAAAACGCAGCGUGCCGUCUGGAACUCAGACGUAGAGGUUCUUGG